AGUCGAGGGGUAUAGUAGCAAUACUAGAGACCGGCGCACGGGUGCGUAACGCGUAUGCAAUCUACCUUUUACAGGGGAAUAGCCCAGAGAAAUUUGGAUUAAUGCCCCAUGGUAUUAUAGAGUGGCAUCAUUUUAUAAUUAAAGUUCCAACGGUAAAAGAUGAGCAUGCGUCCCGUUAGCUAGUUGGUAAGGUAACGGCUUACCAAGGCGACGAUGGGUAGGGGUCCUGAGAGGGAGAUCCCCCACACUGGUACUGAGACACGGACCAGACUCCUACGGGAGGCAGCAGUGAGGAAUAUUGGACAAUGGGCGCAAGCCUGAUCCAGCCAUGCCGCGUGCAGGAAGACGGUCCUAUGGAUUGUAAACUGCUUUUAUACAGGAAGAAACACCUCUACGAGUAGAGACUUGACGGUACUGUAAGAAUAAGGAUCGGCUAACUCCGUGCCAGCAGCCGCGGUAAUACGGAGGAUCCAAGCGUUAUCCGGAAUCAUUGGGUUUAAAGGGUCCGUAGGCGGAUUUGUAAGUCAGUGGUGAAAUCUCCCCGCUCAACGGGGAAACGGCCAUUGAUACUGCAAGUCUUGAAUUAUUAGGAAGUAACUAGAAUAUGUAGUGUAGCGGUGAAAUGCUUAGAGAUUACAUGGAAUACCAAUUGCGAAGGCAGGUUACUACUAAUGGAUUGACGCUGAUGGACGAAAGCGUGGGUAGCGAACAGGAUUAGAUACCCUGGUAGUCCACGCCGUAAACGAUGGAUACUAGCUGUUGGGGGCAACUUCAGUGGCUAAGCGAAAGUGAUAAGUAUCCCACCUGGGGAGUACGUUCGCAAGAAUGAAACUCAAAGGAAUUGACGGGGGCCCGCACAAGCGGUGGAGCAUGUGGUUUAAUUCGAUGAUACGCGAGGAACCUUACCAAGGCUUAAAUGUAGAUUGACCGUUUUGGAAACAGAACUUUCG
RNAcentral lists this ribosomal RNA (950 nucleotides) under uncultured bacterium. Its description in RNAcentral is "bacterial SSU rRNA". It matches the Rfam family "Bacterial small subunit ribosomal RNA", at positions 60 to 1017 of the family's 1533-position model. The record is from RNAcentral.